ACUCAUCGCACAUGAAAAAGAGGGUUUGAUAGCCAGAGACCAGAGAAACUGAAGAGAUGGGAGACAGAAACCGUAGGCUCUCCGGCGUCGAUACAGAGGAUCCACCGCACAUCGCUCUCCGGCGUCGACAUAGGGGAUCCGCCGCACAUCGCUCACCGACGUCGACAUGACAGAGUGGAUCCGCCGUGCGUGGCGGCUCUCCGGUGCCCACAACAGAAUGGAAAUGAACAGUUGUGCCUGUUGAAUCACAUGUCUACCACCGCUGUAUGUUCGCCGGUCUUCACCAACAACGGCGACACCAGUUGACAGUUGCCGAGUUUUCAGGUAUGAUGUCUCUGUUUUUCUUCGCUAUGUGUUUGCUUUCUUAAACGACCUAUGAUCUGAACUGGUAUGGGUUUUCCGGUGACGGGGACGACUCGCCGGAGAAGAUCGUUUUGAAUGUUUUCGUUCCCCGCGUUGUUUGCUAUCAAAGAUAGAUUCAAAUGAAUCUAAUUUUACAUAUAAAAAUAGGCACAUCAAGUAUUUGU
Helianthus annuus (common sunflower) is the source of this 527-nucleotide long non-coding RNA. RefSeq lists it as uncharacterized. Lineage: Eukaryota; Viridiplantae; Streptophyta; Magnoliopsida; Asterales; Asteraceae. The transcript is spliced from 2 exons. The record is from RefSeq and is a predicted model, not a curated record.